Molecule: long non-coding RNA, 1078 nt
Organism: Mustela lutreola (European mink)
Lineage: Eukaryota; Metazoa; Chordata; Mammalia; Carnivora; Mustelidae
Exons: 3
Source: RefSeq, a predicted model, not a curated record
UAGUUGCAUGAUUUCAGAACUCUGUGAUUUAUUUUUUCUGCAGGCUGCAGUGAGCCAUGGAGGGUCUCUGAACAGAGAAGCACUUACUGGGGGCUGCUGGAGCUGUGCUCUCUGGAGAUGAAUCUGGCAAUAUUGCGGACUGAGGCCGCGGGGCCCUGUAUGAGCGUUGCUGGCCGUGGGGUUCUUGCCCUGGUGCGGAGAGGGGCCUGCAGGAACUCCGCAUUCCCUCCUGGCUCCGAGGCUUGUUGACGGUCAGAAGGCACUCCAUGCAUUCCUGCAAAUCACCGUGUCCACAGUCCUUGGCAGCAUUUCUGAUUUGGGAAUAUUAAAAACUCAACGGCGCUCCUGGGAAGGGGAUUCUGCUGAAGACCUGCGUGGAUCAGGGAGCUGAGACCAAGACACGGCAAGGGGCUGGGGAGCCUUCUGCCUGCAGCGUACCCCAUGGUGUCCCACCCACACUCCCUUCCCUUUGCUGGUGCCUUCAGUUUGGGGGUGGAAGGGUGUUGUGGUUAGGAUAAUGUACUACUUGUCUAGAGAAAGUUGAUUUUUUUUUUUUUUUUUUUGGAGAGCCCUGUGGAAGUUAAGAAAUGGAAUUGAUUGUAGGGGAGGGAUGGAGAUCUGGGUUCAGCCCGAGUCUUAUGGAGAAAGCUUGUGGUGGACACUUGUCCUGGGUAUGUGGGGAUGCGGCUGCACCAUCUUCUCUGGGGGCACCGUGGAGCUGUGGGUCUUGACCUCUCUGGCCUCAGACCUUUUCAGGAUCCAAUGAAAGCCAUCCCCCUCUGGCCCGCAAAGGGCAUGCACGCACAGGAUGGUAGUCACGUGGCAACCCCCAGAAGCCCAGCUGGGGCUCUUGAGUUAGGAAGUCCUGCUGAGGAAGGAGUCCUUGGGUAAGGAGGCAGCCCUGAGCCCAGACUCCCCGUGAUCUGUGCUCAUGAAGGAUGUUAGUGACAUGGUGCAUCCAGAAUGAGGAAAAUCUGAACCAUAUCUCUAUGGUGUGAACUAAAAAGCACGAUACAUAAGCUGCAUUGCAAUCCUGUAAAAAAAAGAUGUUCCUAUAGAAAAAUGGGAAGGCAGCAUG